RNAcentral lists this ribosomal RNA (529 nucleotides) under Colochirus robustus. RNAcentral describes it as "partial 16S ribosomal RNA". It matches the Rfam family "Bacterial large subunit ribosomal RNA", at positions 1814 to 2605 of the family's 2925-position model. The record is from RNAcentral. Lineage: Eukaryota; Metazoa; Echinodermata; Holothuroidea; Dendrochirotida; Cucumariidae.
CAUAGCUCCUCGAAAUAAAAUGAAGAGUAAAGCCUGCCCAAUGGAAACCCUAAAUGGCCGCGGUAUCUUGACCGUGCAAAGGUAGCAUAAUCAUUUGUCUUUUAAAUGAAGACUUGUAUGAACGGCACAACAUUUUCCAACUGUCUCUUUUCCUCCCUCUCUAAACUCCUAAUAAUGUGAAGAAGCAUUAAUAAAAAAGAAAGACGAGAAGACCCUGUCGAGCUUAAAUUUUUAACAGAACAAAUAUCCUUUUUAUAAAACAGAAAAUUCUUACAUAAAAUUUUGGUUGGGGCAACCAUGGAGAAAAAUUAACCUCCAACAAAAAAAAAGAACAAUAAAUCAUUAAAAAAAAUCAAUCCAUACUUCUACCAAUGAAAAUAAAAAAGUUACCGCAGGGAUAACAGCGUCAUCUCCUUUCAGAGUCCAAAUUGACAAGGAGGAUUGCGACCUCGAUGUUGGAUUAGGGUAACCUAAGGGUGCAGAAGCUCUUAAAGGUUGGACUGUUCGUCCAAUAAUCCCCCACGUGAUC